AAGAGAGAGGUAUUAAAAAAAAAGGUGAGAUCACUUGGUCUGACUGUAGAUGCUGAUCACAGUUUGUCUUCACAUAGAGAAGUCCAUAUCGAGAGGCCGUAUGACCCAAUACUGUUUCCAACUAACUAAUCAUAAACUCAACGCACGUCACACACGUUUUCUGGAAAGGGAGCAUAAACCUAGAGGACAUUGACUCCAUAGUGCUUCUUACAUCAAUCAAAUGUAUUUUAUAAAGCCCUUUUUACAUCAGCAGUUGUCACAGAGUGCUAUACAGAUAUCCAGCCUAAAACCCCAAAGAGCAAGCAUUACUUUAUAGCAGUAUAUCCAAACAGCUGCUCAUUCAAAAAGGAACUAGACCAAUAACAGGAAGGGACUCAAGAGUCAACUCUUGGCCUAAUCCAAGAAUGCUGGGGACACUAAAGUCAUUAAUAGAAAAAAAGACUGUCAGCACCCUUACAAUUAAAGUAAGUAAAAAUAUAGCCUAACAGUUUAUUGCAUUUUCUUUGUUGUGUGGAGCUUCACCAGUUUGCUAUAUUCUUUCACAAUCAAAACAUAAUGAUUUAGCUGAAUAUAACACAAUGGACAUUGCAUGUUGCUCUACAUGCAUGACAGUUUGCAGACAGUCAUAACUGCCAAGGCCAAACUCAUUGCUCUCCAUUUCAGGGGCCAGAUUUUAUUUCAGCAGGGGGCAACUCACGACAUGUCCCUGCUGACAGACAGACAGCAUGUGGGGAAUCAAAUUCAGAAUAGAAGCUCUCAAGAAUCUGUUAACACACUGCUUAGUGAGAUUACAGGGAGGUGAAAAUGAAAGGAUAACAUCUUCCACCAUCCCUGACUGCAUUUUCAAUGUUACAACUUCCACAACCAUUCUGCAAACUUUCCUAGAACAAUUGUAUAUCCAUCAAACUGCCUUGUUGCUCUUGUUUUUCACUUCACAUUUUUGGAAAGUACUUCUAACUAAAUACUGUUUUGUUCAUCAUUUAUAAAAAAUCAUGACCAA
Molecule: long non-coding RNA, 1000 nt
Organism: Coregonus clupeaformis (lake whitefish)
Lineage: Eukaryota; Metazoa; Chordata; Actinopteri; Salmoniformes; Salmonidae
Exons: 2
Source: RefSeq, a predicted model, not a curated record